RNAcentral lists this unclassified non-coding RNA (314 nucleotides) under Roseobacter denitrificans OCh 114. RNAcentral's name for it is "Long range pseudoknot". The record is from RNAcentral. Lineage: Bacteria; Pseudomonadati; Pseudomonadota; Alphaproteobacteria; Rhodobacterales; Roseobacteraceae.
ACCGAUACGAACGACUAUGACGUCAAGAUGCGCAAUGUUUUCCGGUUCCUCGAAAACGGCGACAAGGUGAAAAUCACAUUGCGGUUCCGCGGGCGCGAAAUGGCGCACCAGAACCUCGGUCGUGAGUUGCUGGAGCGGGUCGCAGAAGACACCAAGGAAGCCGGGCGCGUCGAAAACUUCCCCAAGAUGGAAGGCCGCCAGAUGGUGAUGUUGAUCGGGCCGCUUCCAAGGUAGGCAGUUUUCCGACAUUAAACCGAUACCAUCAAACGCGUUUGCCGGUUGCAAGCGCGUUUUUUCUUUGCGGAAUGGUCCUA